UGAAAUAUCUCAAAAAGUUGAGCGUG
Molecule: non-coding RNA, 26 nt
Filed under: Mus musculus (house mouse)
Lineage: Eukaryota; Metazoa; Chordata; Mammalia; Rodentia; Muridae
Source: RNAcentral